UGGAAUCGCUAGUAAUCGUGAAUCAGAAUGUCACGGUGAAUACGUUCCCGGGUCUUGUACACACCGCCCGUCACACCAUGGGAGUCAGCAACGCCCGAAGUCAGUGACCUAACCGAAAGGGAGGAGCUGCCGAAGGCGGGGCCGGUAACUGGGGUGAAGUCGUAACAAGGUAUC
Molecule: ribosomal RNA, 174 nt
Filed under: uncultured bacterium
Lineage: Bacteria
Description: partial 16S ribosomal RNA
Rfam family: Bacterial small subunit ribosomal RNA
Source: RNAcentral